UAUGUACCUCACAAGUGUUUCACUCUUCUCAAUAUCCUAUGUGUCUGCACUCACUCAUGCUCACAUAUUUUUCAUUCUGAUAUCUCACUGGUUCUUCUCAGAAUCUCACAAAGUGUUUAACUCUCAAUGUUUGGCUCACAGUGUUUCUCUCAGCACUCAAAGUAUGGUCUUCUGUACCUGCAUGAGAAAAUCACCAUAGCCCCUUCAAGAGAGGUCACUGGCGGUGCAAUGGGGUUUCGUAAAUCCCCGAUCCUCA
This 256-nucleotide long non-coding RNA is filed under the name Daucus carota (carrot). RNAcentral's name for it is "long non-coding RNA (DCAR_LNC007509)". The record is from RNAcentral. Lineage: Eukaryota; Viridiplantae; Streptophyta; Magnoliopsida; Apiales; Apiaceae.